GGAUGUGAAUGUGAUCUGGCUGUGACGUCCACUACACUGAUUGAUAGGCUUGAUUCUGCUGACUUGGCUAGCUAGGCAGAUGUCCUGGUCACUCUGCAUUCAUCCUUUUUGAAGAUGUGAAUUCAGUGGAAGAGGAGGACCAUCCUCCAUGGAAGAGGUCAAGUCUUGGGUCCAGAGUAUAUGAUUAGCUUGGCUCUCCUGAGAGAACUUCCAAAUAAGCUCUCAAAUGACUGUCAUGAUUCAGACUCCUCAUUCUGGAAGGUUGUUCAAUUUUUCUCACAUUUCCUGUUUUGCUCUUUCUUUGGAUGUCGUAUGCA
Rattus norvegicus (Norway rat) is the source of this 317-nucleotide non-coding RNA. NCBI's taxonomy places the organism in Eukaryota, Metazoa, Chordata, Mammalia, Rodentia, Muridae. The record is from Rfam.